This 514-nucleotide ribosomal RNA is filed under the name Nucula proxima. RNAcentral describes it as "partial 16S ribosomal RNA". It matches the Rfam family "Bacterial large subunit ribosomal RNA", at positions 1817 to 2600 of the family's 2925-position model. Lineage: Eukaryota; Metazoa; Mollusca; Bivalvia; Nuculida; Nuculidae. The record is from RNAcentral.
CGCUCUUUGAUAUUUUAAUAUAAAGAGUUGUACCUGCUCAAUGACAAUUGUUAAAUAGCCGCGGUACCCUGACCGUGCGAAGGUAGCAUAAUCAUUUGCCUUUUAAUUGGAGGCUGGAAUGAAUGGUUUGACGAGAGCUUUACUGUCUUUUUAUUUUUGAUUAUAAAUUAAUUUUUAUGUGAAGAAGCAUAAAUAUUUAAAAGGGACGAGAAGACCCUGUUGAGCUUGAGUUUUUAUUUAAAGUAUUGUUGAUAUAUUUAUAGAAUUAUUACUUAAGUAUAUUUUAGUUGGGGCAACUGAGGAGAUAUAAAUAACCUCCUGAUUAUAGUUUAAGAGUUAUUGCUAUUGAUCCAUUAGUUUAUGAUUAGUAGAUAUAGUUACCACAGGGAUAACAGCGUAAUCUUUUCUGAGAGUUCUAAUCGAAGAAGAGGGUUGCGACCUCGAUGUUGGACUAAGGGUUCUUGGAGGUGUAGCCGCUUCUAGAGUGAGUCUGUUCGACUCUUAAAACCUUACA